Molecule: transfer RNA, 72 nt
Filed under: Stegodyphus mimosarum
Lineage: Eukaryota; Metazoa; Arthropoda; Arachnida; Araneae; Eresidae
Rfam family: tRNA
About the family: Transfer RNA (tRNA) molecules are approximately 80 nucleotides in length. Their secondary structure includes four short double-helical elements and three loops (D, anti-codon, and T loops). Further hydrogen bonds mediate the characteristic L-shaped molecular structure. tRNAs have two regions of fundamental functional importance: the anti-codon, which is responsible for specific mRNA codon recognition, and the 3' end, to which the tRNAs corresponding amino acid is attached (by aminoacyl-tRNA synthetases). tRNAs cope with the degeneracy of the genetic code in two manners: having more than one tRNA (with a specific anti-codon) for a particular amino acid; and 'wobble' base-pairing, i.e. permitting non-standard base-pairing at the 3rd anti-codon position.
Source: Rfam by way of RNAcentral
GUCUCCGUGGUGCAACGGUAGCACACUCGGCUCACAUUCGAGAGGUCCAGGGUUCGAGUCCCGGCGAGGGCA